UAAAAUUAAAAUUAAGUUAAGAAAAUUAAAUUUAAUAAAAUAUUAUUAAAAUUAAUAGUUUAGAAUUUAGAAAUUAAAGAAUUAAAAAUAUGUAUAACUGUAAAGGAUAUAAUGAAAUAAAUUAAGUUUAAUAAAAUAAAAGUAGAUAAAUAAAUUGUACCUUUUGUAUCAGGGUUUAUUAAAUAAAUAUUAAAAUUAAGUAAUCUCGAAAUAGUGUGAGCUAAAUAAUAUUGAAAUUAUAGUAGUAAAUAUAUUAAAUAAUAUUAUUUAGAAAUGAAAAAUUAGUCGUACAUUAUGAUAUCUAGUUUCUUUAGAAAUGAAUUUAAUUCACUAAUAAUAAAAAUUAGAUAAAUAAUAAUAGAAAUUUUAAAUUAUUAGAAAAAGAAUAAGGGAUAAGCUUUGUUUUAAAUUAAAACGUAAUUUUAUAAUUUUAAAAGUAGGUUUAAAAAUAGCCAUCAAUAAAAUGUUAUAAUUAAUAAUAAUUAAAAAUAAUUUUAAGCAGUUUAAAUUAUUAUAAAGAAAUUUAUAAAAAUAGAAUUUAUAAUAUUAUAAUGAUAAAAUUAUUAUUUUUAUAAAAUUUAAAUGAUAAAAAAUAAAAUUUAUAAAAGGAAUUCGGCAAAUAAAUUACUCACCUGUUUAUCAAAAACACCGCCUUUUGAUUAGUAUAGAAGGUUUAAUCUGCCCACUGUAAAUAAAGGGCCGCGGUAUAUUGACCGUGCAAAGGUAGCAUAAUCAUUAGUCUUUUAAUUGAAGGCUAGAAUGAAUGAUUGGAUGAGGUAAAAGCUGUCUCUUAUAAAUAAAUAAGAAAUUAAAAAUUUAGUCAAAAUGCUAAAAUAAUUUUAAAAGACGAGAAGACCCUAUAGAUUUUUAUAAAGCUAAUUAAUUAUGAUAGAUGAAUUAAAUAAUUAAGAUGAUUUUAUUUUAUUGGGGCGAUAAAGAAAUAAAAGAACUUUCUUAUAAUAAAACAUUUUUAAUGAAUAAGAGAUCCAUAUAAAUGAUAAAAAGAAUAAAUUACCUUAGGGAUAACAGCAUAAUCUUCUUUAAGAGUUCUAAUCAAUGAGAAGGGUUGUGACCUCGAUGUUGGAUUAAGAGUAAAUUUAGGUGUAGCUGUUUAAAUUUUAAGUCUGUUCGACUUAUAAAAUCUUACAUGAUCUGAGUUCAAACCGGUGUGAGCCAGGUUGGUUUCUAUCUUUAAAUAAAUAAAUAAUAUAGUACGAAAGGACCUAUUAUAAAAGCUAAGCUUAAAAUUUAGAAUAAUAAU
Molecule: ribosomal RNA, 1261 nt
Filed under: Choroterpides apiculata (nomen nudum)
Lineage: Eukaryota; Metazoa; Arthropoda; Insecta; Diptera; Culicidae
Description: 16S ribosomal RNA
Rfam family: Archaeal large subunit ribosomal RNA (bases 840-1195)
Source: RNAcentral